Molecule: ribosomal RNA, 254 nt
Filed under: uncultured bacterium
Lineage: Bacteria
Description: partial 16S ribosomal RNA
Rfam family: Bacterial small subunit ribosomal RNA
Source: RNAcentral
UACGUAGGGGGCAAGCGUUGUCCGGAAUUAUUGGGCGUAAAGCGCGUGUAGGCGGCUGGUUAGGUGUGAUGUGAAAUCCUCGGGCUCAACCCGAGAACUGCAUUGCAAACCGGCCUGGCUAGAGUGCAGGAGAGGGAAGCGGAAUUCCAGGUGUAGCGGUGAAAUGCGUAGAUAUUCGCAAGAACACCAGUGGCGAAGGCGGCUCACUGGCCCGGUACUGACGCUGAGGUGCGAAAGCGUGGGGAGCAAACAGG